This 385-nucleotide long non-coding RNA is filed under the name Cricetulus griseus (Chinese hamster). RNAcentral's name for it is "lncRNA (ENSCGRG00015037969.1)". Lineage: Eukaryota; Metazoa; Chordata; Mammalia; Rodentia; Cricetidae. The record is from RNAcentral.
AUUUGAGGCCUGCCGGAGUCACAUAGCAAGUUCCAGGCCAGCCUACCACAGAGUGAUACCCUGGUUCACAAAAAGGCAGGAAAUGAUACAGGACAAGAGAUCUAUUCUUCAACAGAGAGAUUGGACAAGGAGGAGAAGAGAGAGAGAGAGCCUUCUACAGAGGUGUUCAGAAUGAGGAAGGAGAGGGACAGGGCUGGCUUGUAGGACAGCUCAGGAAGGCCUGGAGACAACUGGGGGCACAGCAUGUUUGAGCAUCAAGAGCUGAAUGGAGCCAAGCCCUGCCCCUCUUCUGUCACUGCAUCUGAGCCCACAGAAAGGCAGUUUGAUCUGAAUCCCCUACACUGCCACCAGCACACUGUAUGCCAUUAAAAUGAGAAAAAUGCAG